This 464-nucleotide ribosomal RNA is filed under the name uncultured bacterium. RNAcentral's name for it is "bacterial SSU rRNA". It matches the Rfam family "Bacterial small subunit ribosomal RNA", at positions 28 to 507 of the family's 1533-position model. The record is from RNAcentral.
GAUGAACGCUAGCGGCAGGCCUAAUACAUGCAAGUCGGACGGUAAAUGGCCCUUCGGGGCUAUGAGAGUGGCGCACGGGUGCGUAACGCGUAUGCAACCUACCCAAUGCUGGCGGAUAGCCCGGAGAAAUUCGGAUUAAGCCGUCAUGAGGAGCGGAGAGGGCAUCCUUUCUGUUUCAAAUAUUCAUAGGCGUUGGAUGGGCAUGCGUGCUAUUAGAUAGUUGGUGGGGUAACGGCCUACCAAGUCGACGAUCAGUAGCCGGUCUGAGAGGAUGAACGGCCACAUUGGGACUGAGAUACGGCCCAGACUCCUACGGGAGGCAGCAGUGGGGAAUAUUGGGCAAUGGGGGAAACCCUGACCCAGCAACGCCGCGUGAAGGAAGAAGGCCUUCGGGUUGUAAACUUCUUUUACCAGGGACGAAGAACGUGACGGUACCUGGAGAAAAAGCAACGGCUAACUACGUG